This 251-nucleotide long non-coding RNA is filed under the name Mytilus galloprovincialis (Mediterranean mussel). Lineage: Eukaryota; Metazoa; Mollusca; Bivalvia; Mytilida; Mytilidae. The record is from RNAcentral.
UCUUUUUUUUUAAAUAAAUGUGUUUAGUUCCGAUGCAAAGACCCUAUAAGUGAAUCAAUAUUAAAGCCAAAAUAUGCAAUCUUUAAUGACUUGACAACAAUAUCGUAAAUAUAUCCCUUCUUGAUUAAAGGUUGUGUAAGCUUUUGAGGUGAAUACUGACAUUUUUGUGCUUUGUAAAGAAUAUUACCAUAAAAAAAUGGAUGUGAAAUACCUGAACGUUUAAGAUGUCUGCCUGUUGAGUUAUAUUUUCG